This 547-nucleotide long non-coding RNA is filed under the name Monodelphis domestica (gray short-tailed opossum). RNAcentral's name for it is "lncRNA (ENSMODG00000029842.2)". Lineage: Eukaryota; Metazoa; Chordata; Mammalia; Didelphimorphia; Didelphidae. The record is from RNAcentral.
GUCCCACUUUAGUAAACAUUCUUUGCCUUCUAGAAUCAUAGUUGUUGUUUGGUCAUUUCAGUUGUAUUUAUCUUUUUGUGACCUCAUUUGGGGUUUCCGUGGUAAAGAUGCUGGGCAAUUUGACAUUCUUUCUGUUUCAUUUUUCACAUGAGCAAACUGAGACAAAUAGGGUUAAGUGACUUGCUCAGAAUCACACAGGGAGCCAACUUUCUUAUUCCUGGAUCACCUGGAGCAAAUGUUAUUGAGUUCUAAUCUCACUCUUAUGCUUAAUGGUCUUGGAAACACUUCAGUGCAAGUAUUAGAGCACAUCGUCUGAAUCUGCCUAAUUAUUUCCUGACAAUCCGCACUUUGAUUUCCAGCACUCAUGAUCCAGAUAAUAUCUGAGAACAGCUUUGUUAUUUUUAGUUUCAGGUCAGUAGGUCUUUGAGCCCUUGCUGAGGCCAUCAUUGGGGCCCCCACCUAAGUCCUGCCCUCAUAACAGAGUGUAAGAUGCUGAUCCUGCCCCUUUGGCUAUGGCAACAUAAAAUCCAAAUAAAAAUCACAUGAG